ACCGCGGUUCCGAACCUACUGCAGCAUCUGGUUGAAAUUUUAGGCGCAUAAUAGGUACUACAUUAGCUGAUUCGAGUUUUUUUUGUGCGCCUAGGGUUUGAAUCUAAAUUUGUAUUGCUUCAGUUUUCUACUUCUAGUCUCACUGGAAUUGUAUAUACAGGCAGCAAGUACCACUACAUAUUCCCAUCUAUAGGUUGUACUCCUACCAUUUUUAAGCUUAUUUUGUUGUCCUCAUUUUUUCCAUACACAUAGUUUUCUGGUCAUAUAAAUUUUGAGAUAUCAUUUGUACUUUUCUCAAGUUUAGUCCUGACCAUAUCAUAUUUGUUAGAAGGCGUCAUAUGGAGUGGGGAGUCGCUGGAGCUGGGUGAAGGUAGGACCGCUGCUGUAUCAAUGCUGAAAUUGGUUGGCUUCUUCUUCUUCUUCUCCAUGGUUUAGGUGAGCUCCUGCGUCCUCUCUUCUCUCACCACAUGGCCAUAGGCUCCAUGGCCAUGUAGCUUUCGUUAUUUUUAAAACAACUCUUAUAUAUUAGCAGAGCUGCUUUGUGUACCUAGUGUUAAGCUUUACAUAUUGCUAAAUAUGACAACUGGUGUGUAUAUGCGGAAUAAUAACAAUAAUUCAGUAUAUCAUAUUGGUCGAAUGAUUUAGUUGCCGAUGAUGCAUGUAAUACCAUUUGUUUGUGUCAUAGUGGUGCUGACCACUGAUGAUGCCAUAGUGGUGCUGACCUGAUAUUGUGGAAAUGAGAAAUGGUUUGGAUGGGGUUGGGUUAGACAUAUGAGUUGUCAGGUGCUGCUUAGGUUUUGAAAAUAGGAUUUUUGGGUAUGAGAUGAGACCUUCUGUGGUUGAAUAUAGUGCAGUUUAUUUAGCUGUGGCUUGGGCUGCCAUGGUGAUUCAUUCUGAUGUUGCCGUGGUGCAUGGUUUGGGGUGGCCAUUGUCAGGCUUACCUAUGUUUAGUCCGGAGAUGUAGCAGACCUUGUGUGUUGAAAACAUCACUUGUCAGCCUAGGUGUUUUGUUGUAGUACAACUUAAGGUUGGUGAAUAUGCUGUGUGGAACAUCUUUGUUUAUUGGAUUGUCUGGCACUAGUGGCUGGCGAUCAUGUGCUUUAGUUUUACUGUGAGAAACUAAAUCUGUGCAGGUUUUACUUAUUAGUCUUUCCAAACGAUUUGGUUUAUUCAUGACUAGUUUUUUUAUCAUUAUACACUAUAUAAAAGCUGAUCAAAUCAGCGCCUCCAUAGAGUUUUGAGCACUGUAGAAGUGCUAUUUAUCUUCCCAUUGCUCCAGCGGUUGCCUCACACGUGUCCCUGACUUUGCUCUUUUACUAUGUUGGUUUUUUAUUUUGCUAUUUUCCGGCAACCGGCUGAAACGCUCUUCCAUUCAUAUCCACUAUCCAUACGGAAGUCUCCCGGUCUUUGAAUGGAGUUGGCUACUGUUUGCCUAACGUGGCUUUGGUUUGAGAAACGUGGCAGUUUCUAGAUAGGCCACCGCUUAGAGAGAUAUUUCUGGGCGUUCUACUCAUCUACAUCUUUGCCUUCUCCACGUACACACCCCACCACUCAUCUCCCGCAUCGUAGCCCCGAACGACCUCCGCCGCUGGCUGAGAAACCGGCGCCGUCCGCCAUACUCCUCCAGUUCUCUCCGGAGCAGGACAGCUCCACGGAUCGGCCAACAAUUUUCUCCUUCAGAAGUGAGACGCCGAUGCCCAUCUCCAAGCUUCCCCGAGCGACCUCCGCAAUCGGCUGAGAAACCGGCGCCGCCCGCCAUACUCCUCCGGUCCUCUCCGCAGCAGGUCGUCUCCACACGCCGACCACUUUCUCCUCCAGAAGUGAGAACCCGACGCCCAUCCCCAAGAUUCCUUGCUCGAGACUGCUGGUACGAAGACGGCGAGAUCGACCUAAAGCUCCUCAUCUCCUGUCUCCUACGAUACACAUGAUCUCGCCAACAUCUUCCUCUCCCUCUCCAUAAUUUAAUUUUCCUCAUGUGCAACAACCUUCUAUCUUGAUGGGCGUGGCAUGUCGGGCGCACCUAGGAGCUUCUUGAUUUAGAUGCGGCGUGGGGUUUCUGGUCAUGGCAUGGAGUCCGCACAGCAAAAGGAACAAGGCACACGCUUCGCCGUCCACUCGAUCGAAUCUGUCGCCCACCUGAGCAAUAGGGAUUGGCCACGGUGGAGGAUCCGACCACUUUUUCGGCAACACUUGUGUUGCCUGGUGCACCUUUUCCUUGCAGCUAGCAGCAUGAGCGACUAGAAAAGCACAGACAAAUAAGCGACCACAAGGCAGUGUUGCAGGUAUUUGUUCCUACAUAUCUCUCUCUAUUUUUUUCUACCGUCACGUUCCGUGUAGGAGUAGCACAUGUGCCUUGCAGCUGUUUGUGUUUAUGCUUAAAUGGAGAAAGGGACUUUGUGUACAAAGAGUGAGUCACGACAAUGUUCAGAAUGCAGUAUUUCCAAUGUUUCCUCUGCUAUGCGAAGCUGUUGAUGUUCAUUGGUGUUGUUUUACUUUACUAUAGGUUCUCACCAUCUCACGGAAAGCACAUUCACUUUCAUAAUAUUUUUUAUGACUAACAAUCCAGACUUCUAGAAACAGAGCCCAAUGUCAUACCUUCCCGGGAGCUCUUCCGCAAGGUCUGGAAGAUGCAGAAAAUAUUGAGCUAGAUGGUACGCAUCCGAUGGGUUAUGUGUGUACACGAAGGUUCAAGCCCUGAUGCAGAAUUAUGAAGUGUUUUUUUACCUGAAUUAUGAAAGUAUAUCACAAUAUACAUAGAGGUCUUAUUACAAAUUUAUGGAGUUCUCUUCCGUUAAGCUUAUUGUUCAGUUUUUCUCCACAUUUAACUGAUGUCAUCUUUGCAGGCGAAGUUCGGAGCAUGCUUCUAGGAUCCUACUUUGCUUGGUUAUUUCUAUUGAGCUGCACAUACUGAAGUCUGACCGCUUAAAUUUAAAUGGAGGACCAAAAUCAUGUUGGAGGGCUCAACUCAAGAAAUCUACAGCUCACAUUUAUGGUUACUCGGUUCUCAGGCUAUCUAUGGAAGCUAAAGCAACCUAACGAAUUUGUUUUACACAGGAAAUGCAUAUGGCCAGUGCUUAGUUUCAUCUUUCAUGUACAUUGUAAGGCAGCGUCCUGACGGCUGCCUUUCCUAGAUGUAUCAGUUGUACUGCAUGUAAUUCUACAUAUUGGCAAUGGAUGGAUGUGCCAAGAUUUACCUUUCCUUUUCCUGUUUUUAUGUUGCAAUUCCAAAUAGAACACUUGCCAUCUA
This is a non-coding RNA of Lolium perenne, 3247 nucleotides long. Lineage: Eukaryota; Viridiplantae; Streptophyta; Magnoliopsida; Poales; Poaceae. The record is from RefSeq and is a predicted model, not a curated record.